CCUUCUAGGACACUUUGAAGUGAUCCUUUUCCCAACUAAGGUCUUUGCAAUGAUCCUUUUCCCAUUGCAAUAUCAAACAAAGAAGAUCCUUUGACAGCCAAAGAGUUCCAACAUAUCCGAAUAAUAGAAAUUCUCAUUACUGCAUUUACUACUCGAUCAUAACAAACAAAAAAUUGUGAACAAAUUGAUGGCACGCCCUAAGUAAUGCCAUAUACAAUGCAGUUAUAC
This 228-nucleotide long non-coding RNA is filed under the name Trifolium pratense (red clover). RNAcentral's name for it is "long non-coding RNA (TPRA_LNC000596)". Lineage: Eukaryota; Viridiplantae; Streptophyta; Magnoliopsida; Fabales; Fabaceae. The record is from RNAcentral.